GUUUAACGCCGUUGACUUUUUAGCACAUGUUUGACCGUUCGUCUUAUUCAAAAAAUUUAAGUAAUUAUUAAUUCUUUUCCUAUCAUUUGCUUCAUUAUUAAAUAUAUUUUUAUGUAGGCAUAUAAUUUUACAUAUUUCACAAAAGUUUUGGAAUAAGACGAACGGUUAAACAUGUGCUAAAAAGUCAACAGUGUCAAAUAUU
Molecule: microRNA precursor, 202 nt
Filed under: Oryza nivara
Lineage: Eukaryota; Viridiplantae; Streptophyta; Magnoliopsida; Poales; Poaceae
Description: MIR812 microRNA precursor family
Rfam family: MIR812 microRNA precursor family
Source: Rfam by way of RNAcentral